AGCGAACGCUGGCGGCAGGCCUAUCACAUGCAAGUCGAACGAACCUUUCGGGGUUAGUGGCGGACGGGUGAGUAACACGUGGGAACGUGCCUUUAGGUUCGGAAUAACUCAGGGAAACUUGUGCUAAUACCGAAUGUGCCCUUCGGGGGAAAGAUUAAUCGCCUUUAGAGCGGCCCGCGUCUGAUUAGCUAGUUGGUUGAGGUAAUGGCUCACCAAGGCGACGAUCAGUAGCUGGUCUGAGAGGAUGAUCAGCCACAUUGGGACUGAGACACGGCCCAAACUCCUACGGGAGGCAGCAGUGGGGAAUCUUGCGCAAUGGGCAAAAGCCUGACGCAGCCAUGCCGCGUGAAUGAUGAAGGUCUUAGGAUUGUAAAAUUCUUUCACCGGGGACGAUAAUGACGGUACCCGGAGAAGAAGCCCCGGCUAACUUCGUG
Molecule: ribosomal RNA, 434 nt
Filed under: uncultured bacterium
Lineage: Bacteria
Description: partial 16S ribosomal RNA
Rfam family: Bacterial small subunit ribosomal RNA
Source: RNAcentral